UUUUUUGAUAUGGUCAAAACAAAUAUAUCAGAUAAAAGGAUUGGGAAAUAAAGAUGAGAAUGAUUAGUCAAAGAUUAGGGUUGUAUGCAGACGUGCGGGUCUGGGUCUGUGAUGAUGCGAUUUCAUUGGUGCAUAAGGCUCUAGAAAAGCUUUGAAGCUUUGGUCACGUGGAAGGUGUUAUAGUUUUGAAGUUUUCAACAUUAUCUUUAAGAAAUUGGGAGAUAUAUGCAAUGAAUUAUCUUGGAGAAAGUGAACGGCAAAGGGAUAUGGCGCACAGAACUUGGGAUAAAGUUUGAUUGGACUCUACAAACAUUCUGGCCAUGCCAAGGAAAUAUCCAACCUUAUAAAUACAUGAGGUUGUGGAACGUGAAGAGCCCCUCCAAUUCAACACACAAACUGCCAUGGGCAAACUCUUGCUUUACGCGAAACCUCUCAACAACCUUGAGAUUUUUAAUUUCUUUUUCCGCCGACAUACCUUCAGUUUGGAUAAACAGCACUGUAGAGGCAACCAGCGAACAUCUUCAGUUUGGAUAAACAACACUGUUGCCGUAGAAUCAGCCGACCAUGAAGCACCUUCAGUUUGGAUAAACAGCACUGCAACAGGGUCGACUGGUUAUCUAUCCAAGUCUCGGUCGAGAAGGAUUUUCGGAUCCUUACUGGUAGAGGUCAUCUCAUAAGCCUUCUCGGUGAAGUGAGGUGUUACUUGAUGCAAAAAUUAACUUAACACACAAAUUAAACCAUCUUGUAUCAAUUGUAGUAAAGAAUGUAAGUAGGAAUCAUUCUGGACCGGGGAUUAGGAGGGCUUGCUAAUAACCUCUAAGAUGACUCAAAAACGUAAAACAAAGUUUAAAACACUAAGCUAGACUCAAAGAAUGUAAAACUAAACUAUAAAACACUAAAACAACUCAAAAGACUCAAAACAGCACAAAACAAGCUAAAAGACUCAAAUCUACCACUAAGAGUAAAAUUGGACGAAAAUAGGUUUUAACUUGGUUCAAAACACUUAAAAACACAAACGAAAUCACUUUGUAACUAAUGUGACUCAACAAAGUAAAGGGGGAUUUGGUUUUGAUGAAUUUGAAAACAAAACAAGUAAAGUAAAGAACUUGUGAAAUCUGGACGAAUUUGAGUAAAGUUAAUGGAUAAAAGGCUAGCUAGGAGGUUCUUCUCCACACAUGUCACACUUGCAUACAAAACGAUUUGCAAUUGCUUUUCAAUAUACCAUGAAUUCCCAACACCCCAGAUUAACCGUGAAUUGCACUAAUUAACACUCAGAUUUUCCUAAAGUUAUUGAAUUGGAUGAUUGCAUACGACAACCCAAAGUAUUCCCCACAAGUUCCCCACAUGAAUUGCAUAAUAGAGAUACAAGCAAAGAUCAUUAAAUUCUAUGAAAAUCAUAAGCAUUGACAAGGCACUUGUUACUAUGAAUUGCAUGAAACUUAUGCCAAGAAUUUACUUAACGCGGUUGUGACAAGCAACCUUUACUACUUGUGAAUAUAAGUUCAUAACGAUUAGGUGAAACUCCCUUAUAUCCUCGCAUCAGAUUUAUGCAUGAAAAUUAAGCGUGCACUCUCAACCAACAUACACAAAUUAGUUUUAAUUCAAAUGGACAAGUAAAUUGAAUUCACAACUGAAGGUAAUCAAAUCAUAUUGCAAGUAUGAACAUGGUUUCGAAUUCCCCCCUACCUAAAGGGGGUUUAGUUCCUCAUACUUACAAAGCAACGAUAAACAAAUUUAGACAUUGAAAACAAAAGAAAGAAGACAUCUAAACGCUCCAACGAUCCAAGUUGGACAGCAUGCACGUCCAAACACUUUCCUUCCCUUCCUUUGCUACGACACAAGGUAUUGGUAAGUGUUUGAAGGUUUGGUUGUAUAGAGGAAUAGAUGUGUUUGGAUGAAAGUUGUAUUGGAAUGGGGAUGAAUUCUCAAGCAAAAACUGAAUGUAAUGGCUGCCACACACACUUCCUUUUAUAGAGGAAAUGCAUGGCAUGGAGGGAUGGAUGGUGGUGUGAGCAAUGAUUCAAAGGUGAAAGUGAAGUAAUGAUGCAAAGCAUGGGGGGUGAAAUGGAGUGGUGUUACAUCUAUGAAUGCAAGUAGGGAAUAUGAAUGAUUGUGCACAUGAUAGAUAAAGGAAAGGGAGGUGGAAUGGUGCAGAAAUGAGUCAUAGGUGCAGGUUGAUUCAUGAUGCACGGCAUGGGCAAGGAAAGUGAAGGAGUGGUGCAUCAAUGAGUGCAUGUAGUGGAGGUGAAAGUGAAUGAAAUAUGAUGGGUGAAGGGGACAAAGGAUGUGCACCAAUUGAGUGCAAUGAUUAAAUGUAAUGGUGCAUGAAAACAGAAAUAAUGAAGG
Molecule: long non-coding RNA, 2346 nt
Filed under: Malus domestica (apple)
Lineage: Eukaryota; Viridiplantae; Streptophyta; Magnoliopsida; Rosales; Rosaceae
Description: long non-coding RNA (MDOM_LNC009287)
Source: RNAcentral